CCUUUUUAUCUUUGUUGUUCCGAUAUUUAAGAGCUGCAUUUCUUCCUGAAGCUCUAAUGAAUUUCUCUCUUGAUUGCAGGUGCUGAAGAAUUGCAAAUGAAGAAUGAGGGAGACCCCGACAGAAUCCACAUACAGGAGAAGCCGCUUAAAUAUUCAGGGUCUGGAAAGAGAUUCAGUCAGAGCUCCCACUCAACUUCCAAUCUAACAAAUCUCUUGGGGAAGAAACAAUAUCAGUGUUUGGAAUGUGGAAAGAACUUCUGUCGGAAAUCCAACCUCACUUCUCAUCAAAUAACUCACAGCACAGAGAAACCAUAUCAGUGCCAAGAAUGUGGAAAGAGUUUCAGCUGGAAGAGAAGUUUCACCUCCCACCAAAAAAUUCAUACAGGGGAAAAACCCUAUCAGUGUUUGGAAUGUGGAAAGAACUUCAGUCGAAAGGAUGCUUUCACCUUCCAUCAAAGAAUUCAUACAGGGGAGAAACCAUAUCAGUGCAUGGUAUGUGGAAAGAGCUUCAGUCGGAAGCAAAGUCUAACUUUCCAUCAAAGAAUUCAUACCGGGGAGAAACCCUAUACGUGCUUAGAAUGUGGAAAGAGCUUCCGUCAGAAGGAUAGUCUCACUUCCCAUCAAAGAAUUCAUACAGGGGAGAAACCAUAUCAGUGCUUAAAAUGUGGGAAGGGGUUCUAUGGGAAGAAUAUGCUCACUUCUCAUGAAAAAAUUCAUACAGCGGAUAAACCCUAUCAGUGCUUGGAAUGUGGAAAGAGUUUCCGUCAGAAGAGUGAGCUCACUUCCCAUCAAAGAACUCAUACAGGGGAGAAACCAUAUGAGUGCAUGGAAUGUGGAAAGAGCUUCACUCACAGAGCUGGCCUCGUGUACCAUCAAAGAUUCCAUACAGGGGAAAAACCAUAUGAGUGCUUGGAGUGUGGAAAAAAAUUCAGUUGGAAGAAUAUGCUCACUUCGCACCAAAUAAUUCACACAGGGGAGAAUCCCUAUCAGUGCUUGGAAUGUGGAAAGAGCUUCAGUCGCAAGGAUAGUCUGACUCUCCAUCAAAGGAUUCAUACAGGGGAUAAACCAUAUCACUGCUUAGAAUGUGGAAAGAGCUUCACCCAGAGGGCCGCUCUCAUGUCCCAUAAAAGAAUUCAUACAGGGGAGAAACCGUAUAAGUGCUUGGAAUGUGGAAAGAACUUUGCUCACAAAGCUGGUCUCAUGUCCCAUCAAAGAAUUCAUACAGGGGAGAAACCAUAUGAGUGCUUGGAAUGUGGAAAGAGGUUCAGCUGGAAGAAUAUGCUCACUUCCCACAAGAUAAUUCACACAGGGGAGAACUAUCCAUGCUUGGAAUGCGGAAAGAGCUUCAGUCGGAAGGAUAGUCUGACUUCCCAUCAAAUAAUUCAUACAGGAGAGAAACCUUAUCAGUGCUUGGAAUGUGGGAAGGGGUUCUAUGGGAAGAAUAUUCUCACUUCUCAUCAAAAGGUUCAUACAGGGGAAAAACCCUAUUUUUGCCUGGAAUGUGGAAAGAGUUUCCGUCAGAAGAGCGAGCUCACUUCCCAUCACAGAAUUCAUACAGGGGAGAAGCCAUAUCAGUGCUUGGAGUGUGGAAAGAGGUUCACUCACAGAGCUGGUGUCAUGUACCAUGAAAGAAUACAUACAGGAGAGAAACCAUAUGAGUGCUUGGAGUGUGGAAAGAGGUUCAGCUGGAAGAAUAUGCUCACUUCCCACCAAAUAAUACACACUGGGGAGAAUCCCUAUCCUUGUUUGGAAUGUGGAAAGAACUUCACUCGGAAAGAUAGUCUGACUUCCCAUCAAAGAAUUCAUACAGGGGAGAAACCGUAUCAGUGCCUGGAAUGUGGAAAGAGCUUCACUCAGAGAGCCAGUCUUAUGUACCAUCAAAGAAUUCAUAUGAGAAGGAACCAUAUUGGUCCUUGGAAGGUGGAAGAGCUUCAAUCAGAGGGCCAGUCUCACUUCUCAUCAAUUAACUUACCGUGGGGAGAAACCAUAUAAGUUUUGGAAUGUAGAAAGAGCUUUACCCACUCACUGUCAAAGAAUUCAUAUGUUGGAAACCAUGGAAAUGCUUGUAAUGUGAAAUGAGCUUCAGCUGUAGCUCCAAUUUCACUUUGCAUCAAGAAACUCACAUUGAGGAGAAUCAUAGAGUCUCAGAAUUAUGGAGUUGUAGCAUUUGAGAGGACUCUGUGUGUUGUCUAGUUCACCCAUCUGGAAUGCAGGAAUCUACACUAUGCCAGAUGAGCAUGCAACCUCUGCUUAAAAACCUUCAUGGAAGGAGAACCCACCUCCUUCUGAGGCAGCCUGUUCCACCGUUGAAUAGCUCUUACUCGUGGAAGGUUCUUCCUGAUUUUUAGUCUGAUUCUCUUUUCUUGCAACUUGCAUCCAUUGCUUCAGGUCCUAUCUUCCAGAGCAGAACAAAACAGCCUUUCUUCAUCUUGUCCCCUCUUCCAUGAGACAGCCCUUGAGAUAUUUGAAGAUGGCUAUUAUAUCUCUUCUCAGUGUCUUCUUUUCUAGGCUGACCAUUCCUCAUAAGGCUUGGUUUCCAGACCCUUGAACGUCUUGGUCACCCUCCUCUGCACCCAUUCUGGAUGGCUUGUUUUUUGUUCCUGUUCCAUGGUGUUAGGGACUGGGCAGAGGAGGAAUGGUGGAGACCACCUCCCCAGCCUGACCUUUCCAGAGAAGAAGACAGUUCAGAAUUACAACAGGGGUUUGAGGGAGGUCACAGCUCAGAGGCAGAUGAGGGGGAAAGCUGGGAAAUAAGGGGACAUGAGAUGGAGGAAGAGGAAUCACCAGGAGGGCAAUAGCUGACAGACACAGUGUCUUUAGAAAGCAUUCUAGACCCCCCUCUCCCAGAACCCGGCAAGCCUUGAAAGUACAGUGGUACCUCGGGUUACAUACACUUCAGGUUACAGACUCUGCUAACCCAGAAAUAUUACUUUGGGUUAAGAACUUUGCUUCAGGAUGAGAACAGAAAUCGUGCUCUGGCGGUGCAGCAGCAGGAGGAGACCCCAUUAGCUAAAGUGGUGUUUCAGGUUAAGAACAGUUUCAGGUUAAGAACAGACCUCCAGAACGAAUUAAAUUCUAAACCCAAGGUACCACUGUAGAGCAAAGGGCCCUCAGCGCCACCCGUAGGGGAGAAGGUGACAAAUGAGGGAGAAAAAGGGAAGAAGAAGAAGAGUUUGGAUUUGAUAUCUCGCUUUAUCACUACCCGAAGGAGUCUCAAAGCAUCUAACAUUCUCCUUUCCCUUCCUCCCCCACAACAAACACUCUGUGAGGUGAGUGGGGCUGAGAGACUUCAGAGAGCUGUGACUAGCCCAAGGUCACCCACCAGCUGCAUGUGGAGGAGCGGCGACGCGAACCCGGUUCACCAGAUUACGAGACUACCACUCUUAACCACUACACCACACUGGCUCCCAGGGAGUGGAGAGUCACGCAGGACAACGCCAUUAGUCCCAGAGGCUGCGUUCCAAGCCUCUGUCUGUAAAUAUUGAAUAAAAAGCAGAUGGUAAGGACUUUUCAUUGUCUGUUCCUGGCAACCUGCUGUAGGGGCUGUUUCCUCUGCUGCCUGACAUGUAGACUAGUCUGACUUUUAUUGUAUGUCAAAAAAUUCAUUAAAUUUCCUUCUGCCCUCACUCUUUUGGAUGCUUCCUUGAUUUCAUUCACCAACGCAGGAUCACUCUG
RNAcentral lists this long non-coding RNA (3675 nucleotides) under Podarcis lilfordi (Lilford's wall lizard). Lineage: Eukaryota; Metazoa; Chordata; Lepidosauria; Squamata; Lacertidae. The record is from RNAcentral.